UGAGCCAGUACAGGAUGGACCCGCGUCUGAUUAGCUAGUUGGUAAGGUAACGGCUUACCAAGGCGACGAUCAGUAGCCGACCUGAGAGGGUGAUCGGCCACAUUGGAACUGAGACACGGUCCAAACUCCUACGGGAGGCAGCAGUGGGGAAUAUUGCACAAUGGGCGAAAGCCUGAUGCAGCAACGCCGCGUGAGUGAUGAAGGCCUCCGGGUCGUAAAACUCUGUCCUCAAGGAAGAUAAUGACGGUACUUGAGGAGGAAGCCCCGGCUAACUACGUGCCAGCAGCCGCGGUAAUACGUAGGGGGCUAGCGUUAUCCGGAUUUACUGGGCGUAAAGGGUGCGUAGGCGGUCUUUCAAGUCAGGAGUGAAAGGCUACGGCUCAACCGUAGUAAGCUCUUGAAACUGGGAGACUUGAGUGCAGGAGAGGAGAGUGGAAUUCCUAGUGUAGCGGUGAAAUGCGUAGAUAUUAGGAGGAACACCAGUUGCGAAGGCGGCUCUCUGGACUGUAACUGACGCUGAGGCACGAAAGCGUGGGGAGCAAACAGGAUUAGAUACCCUGGUAGUCCACGCUGUAAACGAUGAAUAGUAGGUGUCGGGGGUUACCCCCUUCGGUGCCGCA
This 620-nucleotide ribosomal RNA is filed under the name uncultured bacterium. RNAcentral's name for it is "bacterial SSU rRNA". It matches the Rfam family "Bacterial small subunit ribosomal RNA", at positions 211 to 850 of the family's 1533-position model. The record is from RNAcentral.